GACGAACCGUGCGAACGUUGUUCGGAAUCACUGGGCUUAAAGGGCGCGUAGGCGGAUUGCCGCGUCCGGGGUGAAAUCCUCCGGCUCAACCGGAAAACGGCCUCGGAUACGGGCGGUCUCGAGGGAGGUAGGGGCAUCGGGAACUGUGAGUGGAGCGGUGAAAUGCGUUGAUAUUCACAGGAACUCCGGUGGCGAAGGCGCGGUGCUGGACCUCAUCUGACGCUGAGGCGCGAAAGCCAGGGGAGCGAACGGG
This 253-nucleotide ribosomal RNA is filed under the name uncultured bacterium. RNAcentral describes it as "partial 16S ribosomal RNA". It matches the Rfam family "Bacterial small subunit ribosomal RNA", at positions 524 to 776 of the family's 1533-position model. The record is from RNAcentral.